UACAGAUAUCUCUAAUGACGUCACCCAUAGAAAUGAAUGGAGAACGUGAUGUCAUUUUGACUAGGAGAAAUGACGUAGUGGAUAUCCUUAAUGUGAAGUGUGGAUAGGAGGAAUGCUGUUGUGGAUAUCUAACAUUAAAGUUUAUACUAGGAAGAACUAGGUUGCAGAUAUCUGUAUUACAUAUCCAGAUCUUUUAUUAAAUGUUAAAACGGCUUGCCAUAAGAAGCAGUAUGGAGCCGCUUGAAGACGACGACGCUGUAUUUCUUGCUAAUGUGUUCUUGGAUGAAUGCAAGACUGCAGAAGUCUCGGAAACAGGCCCGGAGAAAUUUGUUUGGCUCGAAGAGGACGAGGAAGGUAAUCCUCUCCCAAAAAGGAGUAGAACGGGGGAGGAGCGCAAACGUGGUUCAUCCACAGAAGCACGGACCCAUCAUGUGCUCCAUCUUCUAGUGGACAACAGAGAAUGACUGGGACCAUUCAAGACAUAG
Long non-coding RNA from Melanotaenia boesemani (Boeseman's rainbowfish), 485 nucleotides. RefSeq lists it as uncharacterized. Lineage: Eukaryota; Metazoa; Chordata; Actinopteri; Atheriniformes; Melanotaeniidae. The transcript is spliced from 3 exons. The record is from RefSeq and is a predicted model, not a curated record.